RNAcentral lists this ribosomal RNA (500 nucleotides) under Treponema sp. canine oral taxon 246. RNAcentral's name for it is "bacterial SSU rRNA". It matches the Rfam family "Bacterial small subunit ribosomal RNA", at positions 9 to 496 of the family's 1533-position model. The record is from RNAcentral. Lineage: Bacteria; Pseudomonadati; Spirochaetota; Spirochaetia; Treponematales; Treponemataceae.
GAGUUUGAUCCUGGCUCAGAACGAACGCUGACGGUGCGUUUUAAGCAUGCAAGUCGAACGGUAUGAGAGUGCUUGCAUUUUCAUAGAGUGGCGGACUGGUGAGUAACGCGUGAGUGACCUACCUUUGAGAUGGGGAUAGCUGUUAGAAAUAGCAGGUAAUACCGAAUGUGUUUAUAUAGAUUAGGCUGUAUAAAGAAAGGAGCUAUAGCUCCGCUCAAAGACGGGCUCGCGUCCCAUUAGCUGGUUGGUGAGGUAAAGGCUUACCAAGGCGACGAUGGGUAUCCGGCCUGAGAGGGUGGACGGACACAUUGGGACUGAGAUACGGCCCAAACUCCUACGGGAGGCAGCAGCUAAGAAUCUUCCGCAAUGGGCGAAAGCCUGACGGAGCGACACCGUGUGAAUGAAGAAGGCUGAAAAGUUGUAAAAUUCUUUUGCAGAUGAAGAAUAAGGAUAAGAGGGAAUGCUUAUCUGAUGACUGUAAUUAUGCGAAUAAGCCCCGG